Molecule: long non-coding RNA, 425 nt
Filed under: Anas zonorhyncha (Eastern spot-billed duck)
Lineage: Eukaryota; Metazoa; Chordata; Aves; Anseriformes; Anatidae
Description: lncRNA (ENSAZOG00000013676.1)
Source: RNAcentral
GCAGCAGAGAAUUAUAGGUUUCUAUUGCAAUGGGUCUAAUCUGAGAUAAAUUUCACACUGUUCUUAGCAAGGCAAUGUGCACUCCACAGUUCAGGAUUUUGUGCUGUAGUUUUUUUGUAUCAGUUUUUCUUCAAGAUGACUGUAUGACUAGAUCCUUUGUUGUUGUCUGGUUGUUUUUAAGUUUUUUUCUUUUUCUCAUGCUUAUUCCUAGAUUCAGAAAUGUUAAGAGAAGAAUACCUACAGUCUUCAAAUCUGAGCUCCUCUGUAUGCGGACCAUGGGCAGAACCAGUGAAAAUGUUCGUGAGAGCUAGACGAAGGCUAAGACCUUACCAAAGCAAGAAGCCACUCAAAGCUCUUACUAAAAAACAAAGUGACAGCCCCCCCAGCCCCCCGAAAAAUAAAAAUAAAAUAAAAUACAAAUUUAA